RNA transcript from Corvus hawaiiensis (hawaiian crow), 1545 nucleotides. It is a transcript of the gene named BUD23 rRNA methyltransferase and ribosome maturation factor, with no coding region annotated. Lineage: Eukaryota; Metazoa; Chordata; Aves; Passeriformes; Corvidae. The record is from RefSeq and is a predicted model, not a curated record. The transcript has 13 exons.
UCAGGCGGCGGCGCGGUCGCCAAGCAGUGACGUUCGGAAGCCGCGUGAGGUGGGGGCGUCAGGAUGGCGGGCAGCGGCCGCCGGCCCGAGCACCGCGGGCCUCCCGAGCUGUUCUACGAUGAGGCUGAGGCGCGGAAGUAUACACAGAACUCCCGGGUGGUGGAGAUCCAGUCGCAGAUGUCGGAGCGCGCUGUGGAGUUGCUGGGGCUGCCCGAGGACCGUCCGUGCCUCCUCCUGGACGUGGGCUGCGGCUCAGGGCUGAGCGGGGAUUACAUCUCUGAGGAGGGUCACUACUGGAUUGGCAUGGACAUCAGCCCUGCCAUGCUGGAUGUGGCUGUGGAGAGGGAGGUGGAAGGAGACCUUCUCCUUGCAGAUGUGGGUCAUGGCAUUCCCUUCAGGCCUGGCACAUUUGAUGGGUGUAUCAGUAUUUCCGCAGUGCAGUGGCUCUGUAAUGCUGACAAGAAAUCACACAGCCCCCCAAAACGCCUCUACAGAUUCUUCUCCACUCUUUACACUGCCCUGGCCCGAGGAUCCCGAGCUGUGCUGCAGUUGUACCCCGAGAACGCGGAGCAGCUAGAGCUCAUCACAGCCCAAGCCAUGAGAGCUGGAUUUACAGGGGGAAUGGUGGUUGAUUACCCCAACAGCGCCAAAGCCAAGAAGUUCUUCCUCUGUCUCUUUGUUGGGACAUCAGGCACGUUACCAAAGGGCCUUGGUACCGAGUGUGCCAAUGAAGAGCCGCACCAGGCAAAGUUCACCAAUGAGAGGACACGAUUCAGAAAUGUCAAGGGCAAGUCUGUAAAGAAAAGCCGGGACUGGAUCCUGGAGAAGAAGGAGCGUAGAAGACGCCAGGGCAAGGAGGUGCGAGCAGAUACAAAAUACACGGGUCGGAAGCGCCGUCCUCACUUCUGAAUUGCUCUGGACACUGCUGGCAUGGAAGGUGGCAUGUGAGUGCCUCCAGCGAACCCUCCUGUGGAUGGCACCCCAUGCCUGGGCACUUGCUGGGACUGGUCAUUGUGGCUCUUGAAGGUGCAAACUGGCUCAGGUGCUGCCAAACAGCAAAGCUUCCGGUCCUGUUUCCCUGGUGAAGGUGCAGACAGUGCUCUGGCCGCUUGGGUGUCUGCAGUGCCAUCCCUUGCCUUACCUUCCCGAGUGCAGUGAGCCAGCUGAGCUCCAGCUUAGUUCAUCCAUGAAGAAGAGCACCCUGAGGAAGGACAAAUACACACAGGAAUCAGGAUUUCCCAUGAGCUUCUUUGAAUUAAAAAUUAGCUGCAAACACAGAAGAAAUUCCUCUCCUUCUGAUGCCUGCUCUUUCUCUGCAGCGUUUUGGGAUGUACUUUGCUGGGCGUACUUUGCCACUGAAACUCAAGGUACCACCCCAUGCCCAUCUCCCACAGAAGCUGUGUUCCAGCCACUCCCAUAGGCUCUUGUGCAUCCCAGGUUUGCCCAGCUGUGGGAGUGGCUCUGAUCCACUGGGAGCCAGUGCAGGAUGUGGCCCCAUGGCACACACACCCCAGCUGUGUUCCCACUCCAGGUUUACUCACUGAU